GUGGAAAACAACCUGCCGAAAGGCGGGGCUAAUGUUCCAUAAGACCACGGGAUGACAUCAUCCAGAGGUAAAAGCUCCGCAAGGGGCGCUAGAGGAGGGAGCCCGAAUCCUAUCAGCUAGUUGGUGAGGUAACGGCUCACCAAGGCUUCGACGGGUAGCCGGCCUGAAAGGGUGACCGGCCACACUGGCACUGAGACACGGGCCAG
Molecule: ribosomal RNA, 206 nt
Filed under: uncultured bacterium
Lineage: Bacteria
Description: partial 16S ribosomal RNA
Rfam family: Bacterial small subunit ribosomal RNA
Source: RNAcentral